Lactuca sativa (garden lettuce) is the source of this 646-nucleotide non-coding RNA. Lineage: Eukaryota; Viridiplantae; Streptophyta; Magnoliopsida; Asterales; Asteraceae. The record is from RefSeq and is a predicted model, not a curated record.
GGGUGUUUAGUUGUUUAUAUAACUAAAAGGUCAUUAAGUAAUUAUGGAGGGUAGUUUUUGAAAAUUCAAUUAGUAUAAAUAAGAGCCUUGGGCUCUCAUAUUUCUUGCACCAUUCUCUUGAUUCAAGAGUCUUUCUCUCCUUAUCCCCCGAGCAUUUCGGUCCCUCGUGAUUCGACUUCUCUUUCUGUAGUUUUAGUAUAGUAAGGUGAGCGCUGAAGCGCUGCACGAAUCUUUCUUAGAAAGAUUCAGCGACGAAGUUCUGCCCCUGCAGAGCCCGACUCCUAGCUAAAAUCCCCUUGAAAGUUUCGUCAAAGGAAAUUAUUUUAAAGUAAACGAAGCGCUGUCCGAGUACCGAGUCACCACCUUCUCAGGUGUUGAUAUGAAGUCACAAUACACUGAGAGAUUUAAAGAGAUGUAGAUCACUAGUGUAAAUAAUUGUAAGUUCUGUUUAUGCUUAUGUUUCUGUAUUAACGAUGACAUCCCAAACGUUUUAAAAUGAAAUAAAUACGUUUCAUCGAAAAUGUUUUAAUAACGUAUUUACCAUGUUUUUCUGGGAACAAAUUCCGCAACAUUUUUAUAAAAUGAAGUACUCUGAUUUUUAUAAAGCAUAAACAAAAUCGGUCUUUUCUGGCCGUGAAAAUGGGGA